CAUGCAAGUCGAGGGGAAACGACAUCGAAAGCUUGCUUUUGAUGGGCGUCGACCGGCGCACGGGUGAGUAACGCGUAUCCAACCUGCCCAUCACUUGGGGAUAACCUUGCGAAAGUAAGACUAAUACCCAAUGAUAUCUCUAGAAGACAUCUGAAAGGGAUUAAAGAUUUAUCGGUGAUGGAUGGGGAUGCGUCUGAUUAGCUUGUUGGCGGGGUAACGGCCCACCAAGGCGACGAUCAGUAGGGGUUCUGAGAGGAAGGCCCCCCACAUUGGAACUGAGACACGGUCCAAACUCCUACGGGAGGCAGCAGUGAGGAAUAUUGGUCAAUGGACGAGAGUCUGAACCAGCCAAGUAGCGUGCAGGAUGACGGCCCUAUGGGUUGUAAACUGCUUUUAUAAGGGAAUAAAGUGAGUCUCGUGAGGCUUUUUGCAUGUACCUUAUGAAUAAGGACCGGCCAAUUCCGUGCCAGCAGCCGCGGUAAUACGGAAGGUCCGGGCGUUAUCCGGAUUUAUUGGGUUUAAAGGGAGCGUAGGCCGGAGAUUAAGCGUGUUGUGAAAUGUAGACGCUCAACGUCUGC
RNAcentral lists this ribosomal RNA (578 nucleotides) under uncultured bacterium. Its description in RNAcentral is "bacterial SSU rRNA". It matches the Rfam family "Bacterial small subunit ribosomal RNA", at positions 54 to 619 of the family's 1533-position model. The record is from RNAcentral.